AGUGAACGCUGGCGGUAGGCCUAACACAUGCAAGUCGAACGGCAGCACAGUAAGAGCUUGCUCUUACGGGUGGCGAGUGGCGGACGGUUGAGGAAUACAUCGGAAUCUACUUUUUCGUGGGGGAUAACGUAGGGAAACUUACGCUAAUACCGCAUACGACCUACGGGUGAAAGCAGGGGAUCUUCGGACCUUGCGCGAUUGAAUGAGCCGAUGUCGGAUUAGCUAGUUGGCGGGGUAAAGGCCCACCAAGGCGACGAUCCGUAGCUGGUCUGAGAGGAUGAUCAGCCACACUGGAACUGAGACACGGUCCAGACUCCUACGGGAGGCAGCAGUGGGGAAUAUUGGACAAUGGGCGCAAGCCUGAUCCAGCCAUACCGCGUGGGUGAAGAAGGCCUUCGGGUUGUAAAGCCCUUUUGUUGGGAAAGAAAAGCAGCAGGUUAAUACCCCGCUGUUCUGGCGGUACCCAAAGAAUAAGCACCGGCUAACUUCGUG
This 492-nucleotide ribosomal RNA is filed under the name uncultured bacterium. RNAcentral describes it as "partial 16S ribosomal RNA". It matches the Rfam family "Bacterial small subunit ribosomal RNA", at positions 29 to 507 of the family's 1533-position model. The record is from RNAcentral.